GACGAACGCUGGCGGCGUGCCUAAUACAUGCAAGUAGAACGCUGAAGGAGGAGCUUGCUCUUCUGGAUGAGUUGCGAACGGGUGAGUAACGCGUAGGUAACCUGCCUGGUAGCGGGGGAUAACUAUUGGAAACGAUAGCUAAUACCGCAUAACAGUAGAUGUUGCAUGACAUUUACUUAAAAGGUGCAAUUGCAUCACUACCAGAUGGACCUGCGUUGUAUUAGCUAGUUGGUGGGGUAACGGCUCACCAAGGCGACGAUACAUAGCCGACCUGAGAGGGUGAUCGGCCACACUGGGACUGAGACACGGCCCAGACUCCUACGGGAGGCAGCAGUAGGGAAUCUUCGGCAAUGGACGGAAGUCUGACCGAGCAACGCCGCGUGAGUGAAGAAGGGUUUCGGAUCGUAAAGCUCUGUUGUAAGAGAAGAACGAGUGUGAGAGUGGAAAGUUCACACUGUGACGGUAGCUUACCAGAAAGAGACGGCUAACUACGUG
This 495-nucleotide ribosomal RNA is filed under the name uncultured bacterium. Its description in RNAcentral is "partial 16S ribosomal RNA". It matches the Rfam family "Bacterial small subunit ribosomal RNA", at positions 28 to 507 of the family's 1533-position model. The record is from RNAcentral.